Molecule: long non-coding RNA, 1126 nt
Filed under: Helianthus annuus (common sunflower)
Lineage: Eukaryota; Viridiplantae; Streptophyta; Magnoliopsida; Asterales; Asteraceae
Source: RNAcentral
ACUAACAGAGUCAUUUUCAACGGUUGCUUCAUCAGAGUUGGAAAUGAAGGAUUUCACAACGGAUAUUCAUUUCCCCAACGGAUAAAUCGUCAGAAACGAAAAUGAACUAACGGAGUCAUUUUCAACGGUUGCUUCAUCAGAUUGGAAAUGAAUAGGGUUAACUCUAGACACAUGACAGAACUUGCUUCCGCACAGUUUGUUUUGUAAUGUUUUGGGGAAGGAUAUCAAACUUGUGACGAGGGUGACUAGACUUCCAUCGGUUCCUUUUAAUUAGAUCGACAGGGGAUCCUCUUGGUUAGGCCACCAAGGAGUCCUUUCAGCUAUAUCAUCACAUGAUAUCCCUAACCAGAUUUUUGGAUGAAUCUGUUUAGCUAGACCACUCCAGGGGUCUAAUUAUGAAGUAGUACUUUAUAAUCCGAGGGACUUAACUAUAACAUAGAAGUCCAUUGAGGAUUUUAAGUAAUACCUUUGGGCAUCCAACUAUGAAUCUCUUGUAUACGGAUAUGUAAGAUUCUACGAAGAUUUGGAUAACAUAAUUUGGAUCACACAACAAUACAUAAGGAAACACAUAAGCACAUAGUCACAUAAUUGUUUAAUUUGAUCAUAAUUUGUUAUUAACUUGUUAUCGAUUGAAUACGGAUAUGGAAACCUGUCGACGGAUCUCAAUGUUCACUGGAAUCUAUCUAAGAAGAUAGAAAGAUCUCCCAAAAUUCGAUUUUUGAUUACAAGGAAUCACCACAUUCGAAUGAAGGUAUACAACAAUUAAAGACUUAUGGGAAAUUCCUAGGUACCCUAUUAAGGAUUUAUAGUGGUACCUUGGGUAUUCGUCUUGUGCUGUAACCUGCGCCUUGUACUUCGUUUCCUUAGAAUAAACGGGUACUUAGGAAUUCCGUGGAAGACGCAAGCGAUUAUAGAAUGGGAGAAUUUUGGGGGUAGUUUGUUCUUCAAGGAAUACGGUUCCUUGAUUGUCGGUAUUGCAAGGGAUAUGUCGUUUAUACAUGCAACCAUCGAAAUACAUUGCAAUGUAAAUGAAAGAUUUAUUUAUAAACAACGAUAUCAACUGUUCCUUGGAUCUUGACAACAAAAGAAACUUAAUACAUAAGACAUGAUUAUUUCUAAACGAUGU